AACGCUAGCUACAGGCUUAACACAUGCAAGUCGAGGGGAAACGAUAUUGGAAGCUUGCUUCCGAUGGGCGUCGACCGGCGCACGGGUGAGUAACGCGUAUCCAACCUGCCCACCACUUGGGGAUAACCUUGCGAAAGUAAGACUAAUACCCAAUGAUAUCUCUAGAAGACAUCUGAAGGAGAUUAAAGAUUUAUCGGUGAUGAAUGGGGAUGCGUCUGAUUAGCUUGUUGGCGGGGUAACGGCCCACCAAGGCAACGAUCAGUAGGGGUUCUGAGAGGAAGGUCCUCCACAUUGGAACUGAGACACGGUCCAAACUCCUACGGGAGGCAGCAGUGAGGAAUAUUGGUCAAUGGACGAGAGUCUGAACCAGCCAAGUAGCGUGCAGGAUGACGGCCCUAUGGGUUGUAAACUGCUUUUAUAAGGGAAUAAAGUGAGUCUCGUGAGACUUUUUGCAUGUACCUUAUGAAUAAGGACCGGCUAAUUCCGUGCCAGCAGCCGCGGUAAUACGGAAGGUCCGGGCGUUAUCCGGAUUUAUUGGGUUUAAAGGGAGCGUAGGCCGGAGAUUAAGCGUGUUGUGAAAUGUAGACGCUCAACGUCUGCACUGCAGCGCGAACUGGUUUCCUUGAGUACGCACAAAGUGGGCGGAAUUCGUGGUGUAGCGGUGAAAUGCUUAGAUAUCACGAAGAACUCCGAUUG
Molecule: ribosomal RNA, 696 nt
Filed under: uncultured bacterium
Lineage: Bacteria
Description: bacterial SSU rRNA
Rfam family: Bacterial small subunit ribosomal RNA
Source: RNAcentral